This 97-nucleotide signal recognition particle RNA is filed under the name Prochlorococcus sp. Its description in RNAcentral is "signal recognition particle sRNA small type". It matches the Rfam family "Bacterial small signal recognition particle RNA". Rfam says of the family: The signal recognition particle (SRP) is a universally conserved ribonucleoprotein involved in the co-translational targeting of proteins to membranes. Archaeal SRP consists of a 7S RNA and homologues of the eukaryotic SRP19 and SRP54 proteins. RNAcentral also lists the same sequence under 1 other name. Lineage: Bacteria; Bacillati; Cyanobacteriota; Cyanophyceae; Synechococcales; Prochlorococcaceae. The record is from RNAcentral.
GACUCGGACCCAUGCGGUCACGACGCCCAAAUCUGGUCAGGACCGGAAGGUAGCAGCCACACGGGAUGCUCGGGGCAGGCGUGGAAUCCGGGUCACC